This 304-nucleotide long non-coding RNA is filed under the name Mytilus galloprovincialis (Mediterranean mussel). The record is from RNAcentral. Lineage: Eukaryota; Metazoa; Mollusca; Bivalvia; Mytilida; Mytilidae.
GGGCGUGUUUUAUUGGUCUCUUCUGUACAUCUCCAGAAUGUCUUCUGGUGAAGAGUUCAAAAAAAUGAAUCUGGACCUCUUCUGGAGAUAUUCUACGGAAGAUCAAUAAAAUAAAAAAAUUUAAUUGCCGUCGAAUACAGCAGGUUCUUGUUAUGUUGGAUGAAUUAAAUUAAGUUUACGAUUUUUUUAAGAAAAUUAAGAUACGUCCAGUAGACAUGACUGUAAAAUUGUGCUCUGUUCGUUACAAUUUUCUUUAUGCUUUUCUUCAAUUCAAUGUUGCUAAACAAAUCAGGCUUUAUCCCCC